ACAUAACUGCUUUCCUCCUGAAAUACCACCUUGUAAAGAUAGAGAAAACCUUGCACAGAUUUCUCUGUGUUGUGCAGCUGCUAAGGGGGGAUGGAGGAGGAGUGGCACUGGCAAUUCAAGACUGCCUUUCCUACCCUUUUCAGUGCCUCUUUCAGUGAUAUCAAGUUAAAACCAGAUACUGCUUUCAUAGUACUCUUCUGACCAUGGUUUUCUGGAGUUUUUUCAUAUGGAGUUUGUAAGCUUCCUGACAUGGAUUAUAACUGUACUUGACGGAGCACAGUUAUAAUAGCUGCUUUAGAGUCCUUGAUAAUUCCCACAUCUGAAUCAUCUCAAGUUAUUUUUGGUAGAUUUUGAUGGAUGUACAUUGAUGGAUAGCCACAUGGAUCCAGAAAAUAAAGACUUCUACUGUGCAUAUUGACUAAAGCAAAAGAUAUGCAAGGAAGCUCAGUCUCUCAGUUGAGUGGAUUCUGAAAUUUAUCCUGUUGUCUUCAGCUACUAAGGCUAAUUUGCAAAUCACACUGUGCACGGGUAAGCAUAAACUGUAAACAUAUGUAUUAAUCUUCAUUUUUUUAAAUUGUAAU
This 581-nucleotide long non-coding RNA is filed under the name Pongo abelii (Sumatran orangutan). Its description in RNAcentral is "lincRNA". Lineage: Eukaryota; Metazoa; Chordata; Mammalia; Primates; Hominidae. The record is from RNAcentral.